Molecule: ribosomal RNA, 256 nt
Filed under: uncultured bacterium
Lineage: Bacteria
Description: partial 16S ribosomal RNA
Rfam family: Bacterial small subunit ribosomal RNA
Source: RNAcentral
UACGUAGGGGGCUAGCGUUGUCCGGAUUUAUUGGGCGUAAAAGAGCGUGUAGGCGGCCAUGUAGGUCCGGUGUGAAAACUCGAGGCUUAACCUCGAGAUGUCAUCGGAAACCAUUUGGCUAGAGUCCGGAAGAGGAGAGUGGAAUUCCUGGUGUAGCGGUGAAAUGCGCAGAUAUCAGGAAGAACACCAAUGGCGAAAAGCAGCUCUCGUGGGACGGUACUGACGCUGAGACGCGAAAGCGUGGGGAGCGAACAGG